Molecule: ribosomal RNA, 252 nt
Filed under: uncultured bacterium
Lineage: Bacteria
Description: partial 16S ribosomal RNA
Rfam family: Bacterial small subunit ribosomal RNA
Source: RNAcentral
UACGUAGGGGGCAAGCGUUGUCCGGAAUUAUUGGGCGUAAAGCGCGCGCAGGCGGCUCUUUAAGUCUGGUGUUUAAUCCCGAGGCUCAACUUCGGGUCGCACUGGAAACUGGGGAGCUUGAGUGCAGAAGAGGAGAGUGGAAUUCCACGUGUAGCGGUGAAAUGCGUAGAUAUGUGGAGGAACACCAGUGGCGAAGGCGACUCUCUGGGCUGUAACUGACACUGAGAAACGAAAGCCAGGGUAGCAAACGGG